CCUACGGGAGGCAGCAGUGAGGAAUAUUGGUCAAUGGACGAGAGUCUGAACCAGCCAAGUAGCGUGAAGGAUGACUGCCCUAUGGGUUGUAAACUUCUUUUAUAUGGGAAUAAAAUGUUCCACGUGUGGGAUUUUGUAUGUACCAUAUGAAUAAGGAUCGGCUAACUCCGUGCCAGCAGCCGCGGUAAUACGGAGGAUCCGAGCGUUAUCCGGAUUUAUUGGGUUUAAAGGGAGCGUAGGUGGAUUGUUAAGUCAGUUGUGAAAGUUUGCGGCUCGACCGUAAAAUUGCAGUUGAAACUGGCAGUCUUGAGUACAGUAGAGGUGGGCGGAAUUCGUGGUGUAGCGGUGAAAUGCUUAGAUAUCACGAAGAACUCCGAUUGCGAAGGCAGUUCACUGGACUGCAACUGACACUGAGGCUCGAAAGUGUGGGUAUCAAACAGGAUUAGAUACCCCUGUAGUC
RNAcentral lists this ribosomal RNA (460 nucleotides) under uncultured bacterium. Its description in RNAcentral is "partial 16S ribosomal RNA". It matches the Rfam family "Bacterial small subunit ribosomal RNA", at positions 338 to 795 of the family's 1533-position model. The record is from RNAcentral.